AUAAUUAUCAGAUGUGCUCUUCCUCUCCGCCUCACUUCUCCUCCUGCAGGAAAACAGGAAGGCAGGAUUAGAGCGACGCGCUGCGCUGAGAUCCGGAGAGGCCCGUGUGUUGACAGUGGAAACAAGCCGGGGGAACAAACGCCAGAAGGGAUCCGAGGAUCUGAUUGCAUCGCCUGGAGCCUCCUACUCAUCUCGGGCCACAGCGAGUGGUUCCCGAGGCAGAGGAGGAGGAGGAGGACGGACGUACAAAGAGCUCGGAGUCUCGCCAAUGUGCAAGUGCGCCCGAGGUUUCUUUAAAUAUGCGUGCUGGAAUGUCACCACAGCGAGAGCGAUUUGGCUUUUAUGAGGAAGCGUGGUUUGAUUUCCUUCCAAAUGAAAGCUGGAAGGAGGGAUGAACUGAGGGUGGUCUUGUGCCGGAGAGAAAGUGAUGCAUUUUAACUGCGUUGAAUGUUUGUGAUAAACUGAGGGAUGAAGCGUGUUGUUAAGAUUAAUUCUACUACAUAAAUAAUAAGAUAAAUUAACUGCUCACGUCGUCUGAGAUCGACAUUAAUCAGGCUGAUUCUGCAGCCUUUGCGAUUAAAGGGCUCCAAGCUCUAUUUUCUGAAGCUGUAAUACUCACUAAACAAAAGUAUGUGAUUCAUGCUGUGAAAAUACAGUUUACUCCAGUUGUUUUCUUUCUUUUUUUUCAAGGAAAAUAGACAAUUCCGA
Long non-coding RNA from Gasterosteus aculeatus aculeatus (three-spined stickleback), 708 nucleotides. The record is from Ensembl. NCBI's taxonomy places the organism in Eukaryota, Metazoa, Chordata, Actinopteri, Perciformes, Gasterosteidae.